GUUGGUGUAGUUCAAUGGCAGAAUACCGGAAUUCAGUCCCGGAGAUCCAGGUUCAAUUCCUGCGCACCGGCC
Non-coding RNA from Massariosphaeria phaeospora, 72 nucleotides. NCBI's taxonomy places the organism in Eukaryota, Fungi, Ascomycota, Dothideomycetes, Pleosporales. The record is from the annotation of a GenBank genome assembly.